RNAcentral lists this ribosomal RNA (440 nucleotides) under uncultured bacterium. Its description in RNAcentral is "partial 16S ribosomal RNA". It matches the Rfam family "Bacterial small subunit ribosomal RNA", at positions 339 to 795 of the family's 1533-position model. The record is from RNAcentral.
CUACGGGGCGCUCCAGUGAGGAAUAUUGCACAAUGGGGGGAACCCUGAUGCAGCAACGCCGCGUGGAGGAUGACGCAUUUCGGUGUGUAAACUCCUUUUAUAUGUCAAGAAAAUGACGGUAGCAUAUGAAUAAGCACCGGCUAACUCCGUGCCGAGCAGCCGCGGUAAUACGGAGGGUGCAAGCGUUACUCGGAAUCACUGGGCGUAAAGGACGCGUAGGCGGGUUGGAAAGUCAGGUGUGAAAUCCUACAGCUUAACUGUAGAACUGCACUUGAAACUUCUAAUCUAGAGUAUGGGAGGGGGAGAUGGAAUUAGUGGUGUAGGGGUAAAAUCCGUAGAUAUCACUAGGAAUACCUAAAGCGAAGGCGAUCUCCUGGAACAUUACUGACGCUAAGGCGUGAAAGCGUGGGGAGCAAACAGGAUUAGAUACCCUCGUAGUC